This 301-nucleotide ribosomal RNA is filed under the name uncultured bacterium. Its description in RNAcentral is "partial 16S ribosomal RNA". It matches the Rfam family "Bacterial small subunit ribosomal RNA", at positions 509 to 807 of the family's 1533-position model. The record is from RNAcentral.
CAGUAGCCACGGUAAUACGUAGGGUGCAAGCGUUAAUCGGAAUUACUGGGCGUAAAGGGUGCGUAGGCGGGUCUUUAAGUCAGGGGUGAAAUCCUGGAGCUCAACUCCAGAACUGCCUUUGAUACUGAAGAUCUUGAGUUCGGGAGAGGUGAGUGGAACUGCGAGUGUAGAGGUGAAAUUCGUAGAUAUUCGCAAGAACACCAGUGGCGAAGGCGGCUCACUGGCCCGAUACUGACGCUGAGGCACGAAAGCGUGGGGAGCAAACAGGAUUAGAUACCCCGGUAGUCCCUGUCUCUUAUAC